GCGUGCUAUACAUGCAAGUCGAACGAACUUCCGUUAAUUGAUUAUGACGUGCUUGCACUGAAUGAGAUUUUAACACGAAGUGAGUGGCGGACGGGUGAGUAACACGUGGGUAACCUGCCCAGAAGCAGGGGAUAACACCUGGAAACAGAUGCUAAUACCGUAUAACAGAGAAAACCGCCUGGUUUUCUUUUAAAAGAUGGCUCUGCUAUCACUUCUGGAUGGACCCGCGGCGCAUUAGCUAGUUGGUGAGGUAACGGCUCACCAAGGCGAUGAUGCGUAGCCGACCUGAGAGGGUAAUCGGCCACAUUGGGACUGAGACACGGCCCAGACUCCUACGGGAGGCAGCAGUAGGGAAUCUUCCACAAUGGACGCAAGUCUGAUGGAGCAACGCCGCGUGAGUGAAGAAGGGUUUCGGCUCGUAAAGCUCUGUUGUUAAAGAAGAACGUGGGUGAGAGUAACUGUUCACCCAGUGACGGUAUUUAACCAGAAAGCCACGGCUAACUACGUGCCAGCAGCCGCGGUAAUACGUAGGUGGCAAGCGUUAUCCGGAUUUAUUGGGCGUAAAGCGAGCGCAGGCGGUCUUUUAAGUC
RNAcentral lists this ribosomal RNA (590 nucleotides) under Pediococcus acidilactici. RNAcentral describes it as "bacterial SSU rRNA". It matches the Rfam family "Bacterial small subunit ribosomal RNA", at positions 42 to 589 of the family's 1533-position model. Lineage: Bacteria; Bacillati; Bacillota; Bacilli; Lactobacillales; Lactobacillaceae. The record is from RNAcentral.